CAGUCGUACCGACGGAAAAUCAGCUCUUCGAGUGCGGACUUGUGGGUUUACGUGAGCUUUACGGCCUCGUUGUUUGCAAUGUUCGUUCUUUUUGGGUGUACUUUUUCGUAUGGUUGGCCAAUAUCAGUUUCGAUCGCUAUAAAAUGACCGGCGGAAUGUAGCUUCGAUCUCGUAUUGAAGUGUUAUAGCCUCUGGUAGAUGUGGUGAUUGGGACUGAGGAUUGCAACGAAUACCUUUUUGGGCUAUCCGUCUGAUCUCUGAAAGUUGCUUAGGUGCCGAAAGCGUGCUUACGGUUAUUUAAGUUGACGGUCAAAAGGUUAGAACGUGAUUAAA
Molecule: ribosomal RNA, 333 nt
Filed under: uncultured Glomeromycotina
Lineage: Eukaryota; Fungi; Glomeromycota
Description: eukaryotic LSU rRNA
Source: RNAcentral